Molecule: ribosomal RNA, 2405 nt
Filed under: uncultured Muribaculum sp.
Lineage: Bacteria; Pseudomonadati; Bacteroidota; Bacteroidia; Bacteroidales; Muribaculaceae
Description: partial contains 16S ribosomal RNA, 16S-23S ribosomal RNA intergenic spacer, and 23S ribosomal RNA
Rfam family: Bacterial small subunit ribosomal RNA (bases 1-1513)
Source: RNAcentral
GAUGAACGCUAGCGACAGGCCUAACACAUGCAAGUCGAGGGGCAUCGGGGAGCGAAGCUUGCUUUGCUCCGCCGGCGACCGGCGCACGGGUGAGUAACGCGUAUGCAACCUGCCCGUUUCAGCGGGAUAACCCGGAGAAAUCCGGCCUAAUACCGCAUGUGGCCGAGGGAAGGCAUCUUCUUUCGGCCAAAGGAGGCGACUCCGGAGACGGAUGGGCAUGCGUGACAUUAGCUUGUUGGCGGGGUAACGGCCCACCAAGGCGACGAUGUCUAGGGGUUCUGAGAGGAAGGUCCCCCACACUGGUACUGAGACACGGACCAGACUCCUACGGGAGGCAGCAGUGAGGAAUAUUGGUCAAUGGGCGAGAGCCUGAACCAGCCAAGUCGCGUGAAGGAUGACGGCCCUACGGGUUGUAAACUUCUUUUGUCAGGGAGCAAUUGGGUCCACGCGUGGGCUUAGCGAGAGUACCUGAAGAAAAAGCAUCGGCUAACUCCGUGCCAGCAGCCGCGGUAAUACGGAGGAUGCGAGCGUUAUCCGGAUUUAUUGGGUUUAAAGGGUGCGUAGGCGGAAUAUCAAGUCAGCGGUAAAAAUUCGGGGCUCAACCCCGUCGUGCCGUUGAAACUGAUGUUCUUGAGUGGGCGAGAAGUAUGCGGAAUGCGUGGUGUAGCGGUGAAAUGCAUAGAUAUCACGCAGAACUCCGAUUGCGAAGGCAGCAUACCGGCGCCCAACUGACGCUGAAGCACGAAAGCGUGGGUAUCGAACAGGAUUAGAUACCCUGGUAGUCCACGCAGUAAACGAUGAAUGCUAAUUGUCCGGAGGGAUUGACCUCUGGGUGAUACAGCGAAAGCGUUAAGCAUUCCACCUGGGGAGUACGCCGGCAACGGUGAAACUCAAAGGAAUUGACGGGGGCCCGCACAAGCGGAGGAACAUGUGGUUUAAUUCGAUGAUACGCGAGGAACCUUACCCGGGCUCAAACGCAGGAGGAAUACAUUUGAAAGGGUGUAGCUCUACGGAGUCUUCUGCGAGGUGCUGCAUGGUUGUCGUCAGCUCGUGCCGUGAGGUGUCGGCUUAAGUGCCAUAACGAGCGCAACCCCUAUCGACAGUUGCCAACAGGUGAAGCUGGGAACUCUGUCGAGACUGCCGGCGCAAGCUGAGAGGAAGGCGGGGAUGACGUCAAAUCAGCACGGCCCUUACGUCCGGGGCGACACACGUGUUACAAUGGCGGCCACAGCGGGAAGCCAGGCGGCGACGCCGAGCGGAACCCGAAAAGCCGUCUCAGUUCGGAUUGGAGUCUGCAACCCGACUCCAUGAAGCUGGAUUCGCUAGUAAUCGCGCAUCAGCCACGGCGCGGUGAAUACGUUCCCGGGCCUUGUACACACCGCCCGUCAAGCCAUGGGAGCCGGGAGUGCCUGAAGUACGUGACCGCAAGGAGCGUCCUAGGGUAAGACCGGUGACUGGGGCUAAGUCGUAACAAGGUAGCCGUACCGGAAGGUGCGGCUGGAACACCUCCUUUCUGGAGCGACCGCACAAGCGGUGAACCCAGUAAUGGAACGACGGCCACAAGAAGACAAAACGUCAGCCUGACCGCAAGGUUUGGCCGGAAUGACACAGAGAGACGUUUCGGGUCAUAUCCCCGGUCUCUUUACUGCUUGGAUAUUGUUUUCCCAUACCGCAUCUUCAUGAUGUGGAAACGGGGGAUUAGCUCAGCUGGCUAGAGCACCUGCUUUGCAAGCAGGGGGUCAACGGUUCGAAUCCGUUAUUCUCCACACAGGAAGGAGCACAUUGACAUACUGGAAGCAGUCAUGAUAAAAGUCAUGACAGACAAAUCGAAAUACGAGUGACCAAAUUGGCAAAGUAUACUACAAUAUACGGCGGGCUCAUCAUAAGAUGAGCCAAGUCAAAAGACACCAAGGAAAGGAGACAAGGGCACAUGAAGGAUGCCUUGGCUCUCGGAGGCGAAGAAGGACGUGACAAGCUGCGAUAAGCCGCGGGGAGGGGCAAAUACCCAUUGAGCCGCGGAUUUCCGAAUGGGGCAACCCACCGGAAGCGAUUCCGGUAUCUGCGCUAUGCGCAGAGGCGAACCCGGGGAACUGAAACAUCUCAGUACCCGGAGGAAAAGAAAAUAACAAUGAUUCCGCAAGUAGUGGCGAGCGAACGCGGAGGAGCCCAAACCGGAGAUGUGGCAACGCAUCAUCCGGGGUUGUAGGACCUGACGACAAAUUUGGUAUCCAGGAUAGCCGAACCGGCUGGAAAGCCGGGCCGAAGCGGGUGACAGCCCCUUAGGCGAAAUCCGGAGGAUAUCGAAGAGUCAGGCACCUGAGUAUCGCGGGACACGAGAAAUCCUGCGAGAAUCCGCCGGGACCAUCCGGCAAGGCUAAACACUACCGAGAGACCGAUAGCGAACC